GAUGAACGCUAGCGGCAGGCCUAAUACAUGCGAGUCGGACGGGAUCCAUCGGUAGCUUGCUAUCCAUGGUGAGAGUGGCGCACGGGUGCGUAACGCGUGAGCAACCUGCCUCCAUCAGGGGGAUAGCCUCUCGAAAGAGAGAUUAACACCGCAUAACAUAUCAGACCGGCAUCGGUCGGAUAUCAAAUAUUUAUAGGAUGGAGAUGGGCUCGCGUGACAUUAGCUUGUUGGUGGGGUAACGGCCCACCAAGGCGACGAUGUCUAGGGGCUCUGAGAGGAAUCCCCCACACUGGUACUGAGACACGGACCAGACUCCUACGGGAGGCAGCAGUAAGGAAUAUUGGUCAAUGGGCGGAAGCCUGAACCAGCCAUGCCGCGUGCAGGAUGACUGCCCUAUGGGUUGUAAACUGCUUUUGUCCGGGAAUAAACCUCCUUACGUGUAGGGAGCUGAAUGUACCGGAAGAAUAAGGAUCGGCUAACUCCGUG
Molecule: ribosomal RNA, 486 nt
Filed under: uncultured bacterium
Lineage: Bacteria
Description: partial 16S ribosomal RNA
Rfam family: Bacterial small subunit ribosomal RNA
Source: RNAcentral